Molecule: long non-coding RNA, 1516 nt
Organism: Sinocyclocheilus anshuiensis
Lineage: Eukaryota; Metazoa; Chordata; Actinopteri; Cypriniformes; Cyprinidae
Product: GTPase IMAP family member 8-like
Source: Ensembl
GUGUGUGAGUGUGUGUGUGUGUGUGUGUGUGAGUUCAGUGUUGGUCGAUCAGGCUCCUCCUCGUCAGGUAACAAACUGAAAGUAUCUAAACGCUACUUCUGUCUUUUGACCAAAUCCUCGACGUGUGUCAUUUAAAGAGCCUGAUUUAUUAACCUUUUGUGCUGGAUUUGUUUUCUGAGAAGAGUUAUUCUUGUGAUCUUUCACUAAAGAUGGUGGAGAGACCUACAGUGAUCAUCUUCAGUCCAGAUGAUGCUGUGAUCCGGAUUCUUCUGCUGGGCAGAAACACUUCUGGGAAAAGCUCAUCUGGGAACACUAUACUGGGAGAAGAGAGGUUUAAAAGGCACGAGUCUGAGGUGUGUGAGGGUCAAGCUCAGAUCUGUGGGAAGCAGGUUGCUGUGAUUGAUUGUCCAGAUCUACUGGAUCCAGAUCUGAAUGAAGAGCAGCUGGAGAAGAUGAAAGUUGAGGGAAUGAUGACGGAGAACGGAGGGAAAUUUAUGAUGGAACAAAUGAAGAGGAAUAACAGCAAAGACACUCCUCGUGUCAUUUUUUCAGAGAGGAAAGACCAGAUCAGACCGGUUCUGCUGGGAAAAGUGCCGAUGAAAACAGCAUGGUCUGCAGAAACAUGUUUGAAUCUUUGACACAGUGUGACUCAGAAACCCACGAGAGCAACAAGAUCUCAGAGAUCGACACACCAGCGCUCGUUUACACCAGCUGUUAGUGAGGAAAACCACACUUAGACGUGAUGCAAAAAAUUCCCACACUACUAAUAUCUGACCAUUUCACUAUUAAACUGUGUUGAAUUGUACGUCCACAUAUAUAAGCUAAAUAUUCACGGCAAUCUCCAAUCAGGCAAGCUCAGUAAGCUCAUGUCUUACCUGACAGACUUCAGUGCUUUAGGCAGAUAUGAUGAUGUUUGACAUUUAACUCGAUUACUUGUUAAGAGCAAGAACAUUAUGAGAAUAAAUGACUCUCCGUUUGCAUCGCUGCAUGCUGUGUGCCAAAGAAAUCGAUCGAGAUGUCUUGUGUUUUUGUGUGUCAGUAUUUACUUAUUGCUUAUAUGAGUGUAAUUUACUACAACAGUACCUUAUUUCAUGUUCAGUAUUUCAGGGGAAACUACUGUUAGUUGCUAAAUGUUUUCUUUAGUACAGGUAUUUACUUUUUAAGUCAGGUUCAGAAACUUUAGUUUGGUCUAAAUUAAAGCCAUUAAGUAAAACUGAUCAUCUCUUGGCUAUUUUUUUUUUCUUUCUGUUAAUACAUAUGUGUACUAUUUGUAAGCACUCUUAAAUUGAGAGAGAGAGGGAGAGAGAGAGAGAGAGAGAGAGAGAGAGAGAGAGAGACAGAUGUUUUCUUUAGUACAGGUAUUUACUUUUUAAGUCAGGUUCAGAAACUUUAGUUUGGUCUAAAUUAAAGCCAUUGAGUAAAACUGAUCAUCUCUUGGCUAACUCUUCUUUAUUUUACUCCCGACACAAAUGAACUGUGAACUCGAUAGAUUAAUAAAUGGCCUGUUAUUGUUGAC